This 90-nucleotide microRNA precursor is filed under the name Mus caroli (Ryukyu mouse). Its description in RNAcentral is "miRNA (MGP_CAROLIEiJ_G0007572.1)". The record is from RNAcentral. Lineage: Eukaryota; Metazoa; Chordata; Mammalia; Rodentia; Muridae.
CACACACACAUAUAUAUACAUACAUAUAUAUGUAUAUAUAUGUAUGUAUAUGUAUGUAUAUAUAUGUGUGUAAUAAUAAUUUUUAAAAGG